UGGGGAAUUUUGGACAAUGGGCGAAAGCCUGAUCCAGCAAUGCCGCGUGUGUGAAGAAGGCCUUCGGGUUGUAAAGCACUUUUGUCCGGAAAGAAAUCCUUGGCUCUAAUACAGUCGGGGGAUGACGGUACCGGAAGAAUAAGCACCGGCUAACUACGUGCCAGCAGCCGCGGUAAUACGUAGGGUGCAAGCGUUAAUCGGAAUUACUGGGCGUAAAGCGUGCGCAGGCGGUUUGCUAAGACCGAUGUGAAAUCCCCGGGCUCAACCUGGGAACUGCAUUGGUGACUGGCAGGCUAGAGUAUGGCAGAGGGGGGUAGAAUUCCACGUGUAGCAGUGAAAUGCGUAGAGAUGUGGAGGAAUACCGAUGGCGAAGGCAGCCCCCUGGGCCAAUACUGACGCUCAUGCACGAAAGCGUGGGAAGCAAACAGGAUUAGAUACCCUGGUAGUCCACGCCCUAAACGAUGUCAACUAGUUGUUGGGGAUUCAUUUCCUUAGUAACGUAGCUAACGCGUGAAGUUGACCGCCUGGGGAGUACGGUCGCAAGAUUAAAACUCAAAGGAAUUGACGGGGUCAUAGCUGUUUCCU
RNAcentral lists this ribosomal RNA (585 nucleotides) under uncultured bacterium. RNAcentral's name for it is "partial 16S ribosomal RNA". It matches the Rfam family "Bacterial small subunit ribosomal RNA", at positions 355 to 1375 of the family's 1533-position model. The record is from RNAcentral.